CCCUUGGAUGUCCUGGGCUGCACACGUGCUACAAUGGUUGGUCUAAAAAGCGUCCGCGUCCGAAAGGACGUUGCGGCACAGGGCUUUCACCCUGCGCCCCGGGAAUCUUUGAGCGCCGACCAUGCUUGGGAUAGGCUAUUGUAAUUGUUAGCCUUGAACGAGGAAUUUCUAGUAAUCGCAAGUCAUCAUCUUGCGCUGAAUACGUCCCUGCUCUUUGUACACACCGCCCGUCGCUUAUACCGAUUGGAUGGCCCGGUGAAUGUGUUGGACCUUGCCCGCUACUGCGGGCCCGGGGAAAGACACGUGAAUCUUGUCAUCUAGAGGAAUAAGAAGUCGUAACA
RNAcentral lists this ribosomal RNA (341 nucleotides) under uncultured eukaryote. Its description in RNAcentral is "partial 18S ribosomal RNA". It matches the Rfam family "Eukaryotic small subunit ribosomal RNA", at positions 1470 to 1796 of the family's 1831-position model. The record is from RNAcentral.